AGAGUUUGAUCCUGGCUCAGAAUCAACGCUGGCGGCGCGCUUAACACAUGCAAGUCGCACGAGAAAGGGAGCAAUCCUAAGUAAAGUGGCGUACGGGUGAGUAACACGUGGAUAAUCUACCUUUUAGUGGGGAAUACCCCCGGGAAACUGGGGACAAUACCGCAUAAGCUCGUAAGAGGAAAGCAGCAAUGCGCUGAAAGAGGAGUCCGCGGCCGAUUAGCUAGUUGGCGGGGUAACGGCCCACCAAGGCGAAGAUCGGUAGCCGGCCUGAGAGGGCACACGGCCACACUGGCACUGAAACACGGGCCAGACUCCUACGGGAGGCAGCAGUGGGGAAUCUUGCACAAUGGAGGAAACUCUGAUGCAGCGACGCCGCGUGAGCGAUGAAGCCCUUCGGGGUGUAAAGCUCUUUCGACGGGAACGAUAAUGACGGUACCCGAAGAAGAAGCUGCGGCUAACUACGUGCCAGCAGCCGCGGUAAUACGUAGGCAGCAAGCGUUGUUCGGAAUUACUGGGCGUAAAGAGUGUGUAGGCGGUGUCCUAAGUCUGUUGUGAAAUCUCCCGGCUUAACUGGGAGGGUGCGGCGGAGACUGGGAUGCUAGAGUAUGGGAGAGGUAAGCGGAAUUCCUGGUGUAGCGGUGAAAUGCGUAGAUAUCAGGAGGAACACCUGGUGUAGACAGCUUACUGGACCAUGACUGACGCUGAGACACGAAAGCGUGGGUAGCAAACAGGAUUAGAUACCCUAGUAGUCC
Molecule: ribosomal RNA, 752 nt
Filed under: uncultured bacterium
Lineage: Bacteria
Description: bacterial SSU rRNA
Rfam family: Bacterial small subunit ribosomal RNA
Source: RNAcentral